Molecule: ribosomal RNA, 83 nt
Filed under: Aeromonas hydrophila
Lineage: Bacteria; Pseudomonadati; Pseudomonadota; Gammaproteobacteria; Aeromonadales; Aeromonadaceae
Source: RNAcentral
CCUGGCGGCCAUAGCGCCGUGGAACCACCUGAACCCAUGCCGAACUCAGAAGUGAAACGCGGUAGCGCCGAUGGUAGUGUGGC